AUCAAGUAGGGUCCUCAAUCUUUGCUAACUUCUAUUUGCCUGGCAUUAUAUAUACAUGCAAGGAAAAUAAUAGGUCGCUGAAAUGUACUGAGGUUGAGGAAAUACUUGUUAAUGACAGUAUUGUUGUCAUUUGCAGGAGUCCGACAUUGCACUGCCGGCAGUUUUUGCUGAGGUUAAUGGCAAGGGGAAAUCUCGGAGCGCAUUGCAUCGCGAUGCGGCGAGCGCUGGAGUCGGG
Molecule: long non-coding RNA, 235 nt
Organism: Dermacentor silvarum
Lineage: Eukaryota; Metazoa; Arthropoda; Arachnida; Ixodida; Ixodidae
Exons: 3
Source: RefSeq, a predicted model, not a curated record